UACGAAGGGGGCUAGCGUUGCUCGGAAUCACUGGGCGUAAAGCGCUCGUAGGCGGAUUGUUAAGUCGGGGGUGAAAUCCUGGAGCUCAACUCCAGAACUGCCUUCGAUACUGGCGAUCUCGAGUCCGGGAGAGGUGAGUGGAACUGCGAGUGUAGAGGUGAAAUUCGUAGAUAUUCGCAAGAACACCAGUGGCGAAGGCGGCUCACUGGCCCGGUACUGACGCUGAGGUGCGAAAGCGUGGGGAGCAAACAGG
RNAcentral lists this ribosomal RNA (253 nucleotides) under uncultured bacterium. RNAcentral describes it as "partial 16S ribosomal RNA". It matches the Rfam family "Bacterial small subunit ribosomal RNA", at positions 524 to 776 of the family's 1533-position model. The record is from RNAcentral.